AACGAGUACCUUUCUGGAUUGA
This 22-nucleotide microRNA is filed under the name Canis lupus familiaris (dog). The record is from RNAcentral. Lineage: Eukaryota; Metazoa; Chordata; Mammalia; Carnivora; Canidae.